UCAGGAUGAACGCUAGCGGCAGGCUUAACACAUGCAAGUCGAGGGGCAGCGCGGUGUAGCAAUACACUGGCGGCGACCGGCGGAAGGGUGCGUAACGCGUGAGCGACAUGCCCGUGACAGGGGGAUAACAGAUGGAAACGUCUCCUAAUACCCCAUAGGAUCGCGUGCUACAUGGCACAGGAUUGAAAGGUGAGAACCGGUCACGGAUUGGCUCGCGUCCCAUCAGGUAGACGGCGGGGCAGCGGCCCGCCGUGCCGACGACGGGUAGGGGCUCUGAGAGGAGUGACCCCCACAAUGGAACUGAGACACGGUCCAUACUCCUACGGGAGGCAGCAGUGAGGAAUAUUGGUCAAUGGGCGGAAGCCUGAACCAGCCAUGCCGCGUGCGGGAAGGACGGCCCUACGGGUUGUAAACCGCUUUUGAGUGCGAGCAAUAAGGUUCACGCGUGGACCGAUGAGAGUAGCAUUCGAAUAAGCAUCGGCUAACUCCGUGCCAGCAGCCGC
RNAcentral lists this ribosomal RNA (503 nucleotides) under uncultured bacterium. RNAcentral's name for it is "bacterial SSU rRNA". It matches the Rfam family "Bacterial small subunit ribosomal RNA", at positions 24 to 518 of the family's 1533-position model. The record is from RNAcentral.